GCAGUGGGGAAUAUUGGACAGUGGGCGGAAGCCUGAUCCAGCGCGUGCCGCGUGUGUGAAGAAGGCCUUUUGGUUGUAAAGCACUUUAAGCGAGGAGGAGGCUACGUAGAUUAAUACUCAGGGAUAGUGCACGUUACCCGCAGAAUAAGCACC
Molecule: ribosomal RNA, 153 nt
Filed under: uncultured Acinetobacter sp.
Lineage: Bacteria; Pseudomonadati; Pseudomonadota; Gammaproteobacteria; Moraxellales; Moraxellaceae
Description: partial 16S ribosomal RNA
Rfam family: Bacterial small subunit ribosomal RNA
Source: RNAcentral